This is a long non-coding RNA of Protopterus annectens (West African lungfish), 459 nucleotides long. RefSeq lists it as uncharacterized. NCBI's taxonomy places the organism in Eukaryota, Metazoa, Chordata, Ceratodontiformes, Protopteridae. The transcript is spliced from 3 exons. The record is from RefSeq and is a predicted model, not a curated record.
UGCUCGACCGUGAAAACUACUCCACUCUACGAGGGUACUAAAUCACCUAAUAACUUAAAAGACUCUGGACCCUUGCACUCUUCUCCAUACCCACCUCCUACAGAUUCUAAGAAACUUAUUCUCCUGCUCCACCCAUUAUCUACUUGCUCGACUGUGAAAACUACUCCACUCUAUGAGGGUACUAAAUCACCUAAUAACUUAAAAGACUCUGGACCCUUGCACUCUUCUCCAUACCCACCUCCUACAGAUUCUAAGAAACUUAUUCUCCUGCUCCACCCAUUAUCUACUUGCUCGACUGUGAAAACUACUCCACUCUACGAGGGUACUAAAUCACCUAAUAACUUAAAAGACUCUGGACCCUUGCACUCUUCUCCAUACCCACCUCCUACAGAUUCUAAGAAAGUAUGUCUACACAAUUUGAUUGUAUUUUUGACCUGUUGUAGCCGGUGUAUUUCUGUU